RNA transcript from Carlito syrichta (Philippine tarsier), 375 nucleotides. It is a transcript of the gene named transmembrane protein 258 pseudogene, with no coding region annotated. NCBI's taxonomy places the organism in Eukaryota, Metazoa, Chordata, Mammalia, Primates, Tarsiidae. The record is from RefSeq and is a predicted model, not a curated record. The transcript has a single exon.
GCGGCUCGCCCAGAGCCCGGCAAAAUGGAGCUCGAAGCUAGGAGCAGAUGCACCAGCCCUGUGAACCCAGCGGUCUUUCCACAUCUGACCGUGGUGCUCUUGGCCAUUGGCAUGUUCUUCACCGCCUGGUUCUUCGUGUAUGAGGUCACCUCCACCAAGUACACUCGCGAUAUCUACAAAGAACUCCUCAUCUCCCUGGUGGCCCCGCUCUUCAUGGGCUUUGGAGUCCUCUUCCUGCUACUCUGGGUUGGCAUCUACGUGUGAGCGCCCCAGGGUACCAGCCAGGCCGCUUCACUGAAUCCCUGCUUUUGUAAAUUAAUUUUUUUUUACUGUGCUGGAAGCGUCCCGCUUGCUACUUACAAUAAAGGCAGAUGU